AGUCGAACGGGAUUUUUUGUGUAGUAAUACAUAAAAAGUCUAGUGGCGAACGGGUGCGUAACACGUGAGCAAUCUGCCGGGAAGUGGGGGAUAGCUCGCCGAAAGGCGAAUUAAUACCGCAUGUGGCCAGAGGGGACAUCCCUUCGACGCCAAAGUCGCAAGACGCUUCCUGAUGAGCUCGCGGCCUAUCAGCUUGUUGGUGAGGUAAUGGCUCACCAAGGCUUUGACGGGUAGCUGGUCUGAGAGGACGACCAGCCACACUGGAACUGAGACACGGUCCAGACACCUACGGGUGGCAGCAGUCGAGAAUUUUUCACAAUGGGGGCAACCCUGAUGGAGCGACGCCGCGUGGAGGAUGAAGGUCUUCGGAUUGUAAACUCCUGUCAUGCGAGAACAAGAAAGUGAUAGUAUCGCAAGAGGAAGAGACGGCUAACUCUGUGCCAGCAGCCGCGGUAAUACAGAGGUCUCAAGCGUUGUUCGGAUUCAUUGGGCGUAAAGGGUGCGUAGGUGGCGCGGAAAGUUGAGUGUGAAAUCCUAGGGCUUAACCUUAGAACUGCACUCAAUACUCCCAUGCUAGAGGAAUGGAGAGGAGAGUGGAAUUCACGGUGUAGCAGNGAAAUGC
Molecule: ribosomal RNA, 622 nt
Filed under: uncultured bacterium
Lineage: Bacteria
Description: bacterial SSU rRNA
Rfam family: Bacterial small subunit ribosomal RNA
Source: RNAcentral